ACCAAUGUACACUAGAGAAAGAUGGAAGUGCUGGGGAGACAUGCCAUAUAAGGUUUCAUGCUGGCCCUCCAUACGAGGAUAUUUCACGGGCCGGAAUGUCAUGGGUCGGACCCGUUACUAGGCCUCAUUCCAGCGUUUGGUAGGCCAACCGGAACAGAACCCACUCGUCCCCGAUUAGCGAAUAUUCGUCAAAGAUGCGGAAUGCGCUGAGACCUCCAAAUCGAUGGAAUCACAUGGAACGAGCCCUCUCCUCUCCCGCAACCCUAUCGCUCGUCUCCACAGCGCCGCUCGACCUCCUCCUUCCUCCGUGCGCCGCCAGCCCUCUCCCUCCCACUCAGGGUACAAGGGGAAGAAGGCAGUAGGAGAGAACAAGGAGAAGAAGGCGACAGAGCGAAGCAAACCGUCCUCACCUCAAGAUGGUCAAGAAGAUGAACAAAAGAAAAAGGAUGGUUUAUUAUACCAGAAGUGACAUGGACCACCCAACCAAUUCGAACAACAAGGCAACAAGCAAGUGACCAUAGGGCCACGGUAGACCGUAGGCUGCAAAUUGCCGCCCAAAUGUGGGAAGAUAGGCAAAUCAUGUAUGCAAAUUUAUGAGUGUGUGACACUCCAUGUAUCAUGUAUCAUUUAUUGUGUUCAAACCAUGUAUUUGUAGUGUUGAAACCACUCCCUUGGAUUUAUUUGAUGGCUGGACAGAUUGUAUUUUGUUCAGAUUUCAUUAAUUUGUUUGGAUGGUUUUGAUGGCUGGACAGAUUGCAUCAUCUAUGAUAUUGAAACCAUCAAGUGUAAAGUUUUAAUCCAUUUUAUUGGUUUGUUUUGA
Molecule: long non-coding RNA, 820 nt
Organism: Triticum aestivum (bread wheat)
Lineage: Eukaryota; Viridiplantae; Streptophyta; Magnoliopsida; Poales; Poaceae
Exons: 4
Source: RefSeq, a predicted model, not a curated record